Misgurnus anguillicaudatus (oriental weatherfish) is the source of this 2388-nucleotide non-coding RNA. The record is from RefSeq and is a predicted model, not a curated record. NCBI's taxonomy places the organism in Eukaryota, Metazoa, Chordata, Actinopteri, Cypriniformes, Cobitidae.
AAGGGCGAUUUAUAGUCGUGCGUAGGUCCUACGGCGUAGCAGCGACGGCGUAGGUUCCGCGUCGGUUUUCAUUUAUACUUGUGCGUCGCCGUCCGCGUCGACGUGCAAACACACGCGAAACCGCUGGUUGGCAGUAAUCACGCGUGUAACCACAGUAGCAGCAGAAGUCGUCACAGAAGAAGAAGCUAAGCAAGUAAACCCACAAACGAAGAAGAAAUAGCAACUUGUUGUGUAUAAUUUGAGAAGACCAGCAAUGAUGGAAGUAAAUAAACAGCGACUUAUGUUUCAGUUUGAGUUAAAUCACUCCUCAACUUGGCUCAUCUUUGUUUUCACCGUCUCAAACGGAAAUACCUAUGACGCAGUUUUUUUACCUGACGGGAGGGGUUCUGGUGGACCAAUCACAGCGCUUACGGUCCGCGUAGAGCCGACGCGCUGUUAGAAAUUUUGUGAGGUGCGCGUCAGGCUACGCAGAGCUACGCACAGGCUACGGAUAGCCUACGCCGUAGGACCUACGCACGACUAUAAAUCGACCUUAGCUGUGUAUGAUGAGAAUACCCUGAAAGCCUUUGUGACAUUUCAGGGAGAAGAAGUUUGUCACAGUUUGACUGAAUGAAAAGGAAGACCUGUACACGCUGAUGAGAGAGACAUUCUUGAUCGACUUGGGUCCCACACCAUUUCAGAGGCACUUAAAGGACUUAGUGGCAAAUGCACGGGUUCAUGAUAACGGGGAACCCAAUGAAUAUUAUUCACAAACAUUCAUGCCCAGACUGUUAAAAUAUGGUCUGGUCUCAUGCUGGGUGAUCUCUCCCGCCAUGGAAAAGGACCAGCCAACAAUAUUUUGUCCAGAAAGUUUAUGUGUUGGAGCCAGUUGAGCACACAGAACUACACAGGGGACAAUAAAACCCAGGGCAUAAUGGAAAAAAGUCUGGGAUCUAAAAAAAAAGAUUUUAAAGACGCUGUCUGACAAGACUUGACGACUUUGUUGAAAUUUAUCAGAAAUCACGUAACGCUCUACUAAAUGAGUUCUCUGACUCUACAAGGAAAACAAAGCCAAAAAAUAAGGUCAAUAAAGCAGAACCACUGCUCGAAACAUCUGCUGAAGGUUUAAAGGACGGUGAGGAAGAAUGCUCAUCCUCAGCAGAAAAAACAAAAACGUUGGAGACCAAGUCUUCCGAGGCAAAGCAGUUCUACAGGUCCCCAUUCCCACAAAAGAUAAAAAAGCAGCAAGACUAGUAAGACGUUCACAUAUGCCUAAAGGUAUAAAAAAGCACUAUGACUGAAUUCCUUCAUCCACUGCACUGGGUCAGCUGUGAUGAAAGGGAUUUUGUGGCAUACCUUCUUGCAAGAGAGUACCCACAAAUCGAUGGAUUCCAGUCAACACUUUUGCUCCAGGCAUUGCAGAAUGGAGGAAUUGUGUGUAUGCCUUGCAGCUCGUUCAUCCAAUUGUUACACACUGGUGACGACCACUAGCUCUCUGUACAGUAAGCAACCUCUGUUGCAGAAGUGAUGAGGUUUGCAUUUAUUACAGUCUUUCUACAAGGUUUGAUAACAGAGACAAACAGGAUUCAUCCUGGUUACUCAGACCAGCUGAAGAACAGUUUGUUGUUACAUUUCCCGAUGUUCAGCAGCAAACAAAUGGCAACUGUGGUUUAUUUGCAACUGUAUGCUUUUGCAUUAUACUGCAACAUCAGACCUGAAAAUUUUAUGUUCUGUGACGGCCGGUUGAGGACAGAACUUUUUACUUCUUUCAGAUCAGGGAAAUUACAGUUUAAAACAGAGCCAAAAUCAAGUAAGACAACGUUAAGGGAAACAUCUGUAGAUGUUUACGGUUUGUGCAGAACCGUACACUGCGCUGAUGUCAUGGGGGAAUGUUCAUUUUGCCAACGGUGGUAUCAUCCAAACUGUGUCCAAAUACUAAAUAAUGGCCAUUAACGGUGAUGAAGACUGGCACUGCACUAAUUGUAAUAAAUAAAUGUACAAUAUCUAUAUACAUUGCUGUUUACCUUAAUUUAAAUCUAUAGUCAUAGUGUUAAAGUGGCUACAGGUGCAUUAUCGUUUGAGGCCAUGCAAUAGUGAGGUAAAGAGCAAUUUUGAUUUAAUUGCUUAUUUUUAUUUAAUUUUAAUAUAUUUCAAUUUGAUGUUCAAUUUUGCCAAUUGUUGGUCAUGGAGAGCAUUUCGUUUUAUGGAAUGUUUCCAGACAUUGGCACAACACCCCAAUGGCUGUAUUAUUUAUGCAUGUGUGUGUAUUUUACCUUAUAUUGUUGCACCUUUAUUCUUGUUGUGUAAAUUUUUUUAUACACUUUUUUUACUUAUAAUGGCUGACAUUGAUCUUGUUUUGUUAAUUCAAUAUUUCGAAUGUAUAGUUUUCAAAAGUAUACAACAUUUAUA